GUGCUCCCCCUUCCUUGCACCAUAGCCAGGGCUACAGGAUCUCAGAAAAAGCUUUCCAUGGAUGCUUUUAGCUGCUACUUCUCCUGAAUAGGUUCCUGUGCUGGAACUGAAAACAGGGAUCUCUCCGCUUUGUCCUUUUAGUGACCCUUACUGCUAGCACCCUGGAAGCAUGAAGGAAGAAGCUGUUUGAGUCAAACGGAAAAAAAGACAAAUGGCAGGCCACGACGAGGAAAAAAAUAUAUUAAGAGAAGGGGUCUCCUGAGAUCGGGAUAGCACAAGAGGUAAAAAGCCAAGUCUAGAGAUUAGAGACUUACUGGCCAAGAACAUUUCACCUCAUAUUAGCAUGUUUAUUUGCUAGCAUUGUGUAAUCUACAAUAUGCAAAGCAUGAGUUACGGAAGACUGGGUUAUUGUUGGCUGGAAGAGAUGUUACCAGCAUCUGUGGGAAGCAGCAGCGUCUCCUCUGCUAGGUUGUGAGGGCAGGGACAGGGGGAGUGUGUGUGGGUGAGACUGACUGCAAAACCACGAGGGAAGCAUGGGAAGUUUGUGGGAGAUUGGGAUACGCUGAGAGAAGGAAGGGGCUGGGAACACAGUGGAGAAAGAAAAGAAGGAAAAUGGGAACUGAAAAACGUAGUGAAAUAGAUUAGUUAAGGAGCAGCAGUAAACAGAGGCAGGACAGAAUCGUGGAAGAAACUUGACUGGAACCAGUGCGUGUCUGGUGUGUCAGCAUCCUGGGCGCAUCCCCUCCCAGGGGUUUGGCUGCCCAGGUUAGGGCCCCCUUAGCAAUAGUGUUGCUGGUAACCUUGAAAGAGCAAGCCAGGAGAAACCCCAGUGAGGGCCUGCUGCUCCAGGAGCUGUUUUUAAGUGGAGGCUGCAGCCUUUGUUCCCAGCAGGAACACCAGAACAAGGAACAUUGCCUGGCCCUGCUGCUCUGGAGCCUGGUUGGUGACGCAUUUGACCUCAGUCCUCAUCCCAUGGGCUUGUGUGGACCUUUUCUUGUGGCUUCACAUCCCAGCAGCACAAACUUACAGGGUUGCUCCCUCAGCUUGGAAAGGCAUUUAACAGGUAUGCAAAGAAGUUGACAGAUAACAGCCAGAGAUAAAAAUCAUGGAGUGAAAAGAGACAAAGAUGUUCUCCUUGUCCAAAGCUGAGCUAGGAAGCAGAGGAUCAGCUUGCUGCGGGAACAGGAAGAUCUUGGGACUUUUUCCAGCAGAUCCUGGAGUAUAAAUAACAAAGGCACGGCCGAGUCUCCAAAUAAAGCGAACAAAUCAGUUAGCCA
RNAcentral lists this long non-coding RNA (1277 nucleotides) under Anas platyrhynchos platyrhynchos (common mallard). RNAcentral's name for it is "lncRNA (ENSAPLG00000028934.1)". Lineage: Eukaryota; Metazoa; Chordata; Aves; Anseriformes; Anatidae. The record is from RNAcentral.